UGGCCCUAACAUCACCGGUACGUUGCUCAAGCACUCGAGUGCCACAAAAGUUCACAAAAGGAAACGUGAAAUGUCUUCAAGCUAAUGGAAUAUCGUUACACGAAUAGAGGGCGUCGAAGAGACGUAGGCUGCAGCUUGGGACGGUUAUUCCAUCUUUCAAUACACCUGCCAUCUGUUUGUGGAUAGGGAGCUUAUAAUCCCCAAAAUCGGCUUGAAGCUGGCUAUUGAAUACCUGUUUGCUGUCCACUACUGCUUGAACAUCAAAUAUGCUCCACCUGUAUUGGCGACCCUUGAAUUUCUUCAUAGGUAGGCAAGCUCACCAUCUCCUGAAGUAAGCCAUCUGAGUGGUCUUCGAACCUGAUGAGGCCACUUGUCACCACUAUAAGCGGUACACCGGAAGAGUGGCUCAGCAGAUGAACCUGCAGCAGAACCAAGUGGGUGCCAAACCAGCGAGGCAUCAACCACCUUGGCCAAGAAAACUAGCAAAACGCCGAGACAAGACACCAUAAAACAACUUUUGACCGGUUCAUUUCAGCACGAUAAAAGCAGGAGGAAAACUGAAAAAAAAAAGGACACUAUGAAAUGAUGGAAAUUGAACCCCAGAAAGUGAAAUUGCUCGGAAAAUUGGUGAAAACUAUAGGAAGAGAUGGUGAUGAUGAUGAUGACAUCAGUAUGUUGUUUCUUUCUGUGAGCUUGCCAUGUCUUAAUCGAAAGCCACUGUCGUUUCUUAUUUUAUAAGUAUAUAUUUGGUCAGUAAACAACAAGAAAGUUUGGCAUUCUUUUUUUUU
Molecule: long non-coding RNA, 788 nt
Organism: Dermacentor silvarum
Lineage: Eukaryota; Metazoa; Arthropoda; Arachnida; Ixodida; Ixodidae
Exons: 4
Source: RefSeq, a predicted model, not a curated record